UUUAGUGUGCUGAGCAGGCGAGCUUAGAGAUGGGGGAAAGGAGAAAAAAAAAGGCAGAAAGGAAAGAGAAGGAGAAGCCCAGGGCUCCAAAGCAGCUGAGGUGUCAAAGACAAAGAUUUAAUGAAUGUGCCUGCGGUUCACCUGAACAGAUGAGCACAAGCUAGAAGGAAAGAACGAAGAAAAUGGAAAAAAGAAAGGAUCAUUUUUCAGAUUGGCAGCUCCCCUCGCAGACAUCUUUUAACAAGAAAAAAAAAAAGGACUCCAGCCUUGCGCUUAAAGGGCCAGCGUUGUUAUUCUGUUUCGUGGCAGCCGGUAGGGUACUCUGGUCCUAUCAAGUGGGAUCCGAUCUUGUUCUGGAGCAUGGCUCUGAGAGAUCACGUGGUAGCAUUUCAGAGAUGGAUGGAGAAGCACUCGCAGAAGCUACAGCAAGAUCAGGCAAACCUGUUGACUCAUUUAUCACAGCACCCACAGAUCCCUUUCCAAGGCAAGAGCAAUGCAGUGAACGCUGAUAUUCCUGAAGGCACAGAGGCUGCAAAGCCAGACUCAUUGCUUCGGUCCAGUCCGGAAUGCUGCGGUCCCAGUUACUCCCCCCUUCGCGCACCCCACAUGACAACCCCAGUCACCAUAACCUGGAGGCACGGGGAUGAGAUAUAAUUUAGUCUCUAAGCAAGUUUGUUUGCGGGCCUCUCCUGGGCAGAGGUUGCCAAUUAUGCUCAAUAUGCUGAACUCUGUCAUCUUAGGUUCUUGUCAUGCAAAAUACUAGGGUUGUUUUUUCUCUGCUGUUUUAAUGACAUUGUGGAGGAAUCCUAGAGAUGGAGCUCAGGGGAUGGUGAUGGAUAUGCUCUUAGGCCUCCUGCAUGUCCUCUGGCUUCUGACCCAACACCCCCCAGGCCUCUGCUUCUGCCUGUGGGGCCUGGAGUUCACAAAUGUCAUGCAUGCCGUGUGGGAAACUCUGAAUGCAUGGUCAUGAACUGGCUGAUGUGAUGAACUCCCACCUGUUCAUGCUCUCUGUAUGUGUGUAUAUAUAUCUCCUCAAUAUAUGUUCCAUUCUAUAUGCAUCCGAAGAAGUGGGCUGUAGUCCACGAAAGCUUAUGCUCUAAUAAAUUUG
Molecule: long non-coding RNA, 1108 nt
Organism: Chrysemys picta bellii (western painted turtle)
Lineage: Eukaryota; Metazoa; Chordata; Testudines; Emydidae
Source: RefSeq, a predicted model, not a curated record